RNAcentral lists this long non-coding RNA (426 nucleotides) under Rattus norvegicus (Norway rat). RNAcentral's name for it is "long non-coding RNA NONRATT020021". The record is from RNAcentral. Lineage: Eukaryota; Metazoa; Chordata; Mammalia; Rodentia; Muridae.
CGAGCAUGAAUGGCCGCUUGUUCCCUGCAUGUAGCAGCAUGGCCCUUCUGGUUGCCGUGCAGGACGUCCUGGGCCCUCUGCCUGGUGGGCUUCCUCGGUGGGCAGCCUGCCAGUCCUGGGCUGGCUGGGAAGGCUGUGGGUGGCCCCAGCUCAGUCUGUGGUAAGAGAUGUUGUGGCUUUCCUCUGUUUUUCCACCUUUCUCCCAAACGACUUAAUUUUGGUCUUCCUGGAUAUGUAAGUCCUCCAGAAAACGGUUUAUAAAAAGCAUCGGCCUCUCUGACUUCAUCAGCCAGCCUCAAGGACGCCAGGACCAUUUAGGUCCCUGUUGGAAAAGCAGGGCAUUUCCUAACACUGAGGUGGGCAGCUCCAGGCGCCGGGUGACCUGACCCUGCAGGGGCCAACUUCGCCUCAGGACUUUGAUCUGCC